UGGAUCCAUGCAGCGAUCUUGUCCUGGUGCUGUGGAAUCAGCUUUGCACCAGGCCCCAGAAGGUCUGCGUUCCAGAGCCUUCCUGUUGGGGCCUCAGUCUUCUCAUCUGAAAAAUGGGAGCAAACUCAGUUCUGCCAUGCCCAGUGUGGGUGUGAUGUCACAUCAGGAUUGCUGUGAGGAUGAAGUGAUUUGAUUCAUACAUAGCACUGAGAGCAGAAGCUGACCUCAUAAGCACCAAAUCCACGGGCUUGUUUGUUUGUUUGUUGUUUGUUUUAAGAUGGAGUCUCGCUCUGUCACCCAGGCUGAAGUGCAAUGGCAAGAUCUCAGCUCACUGCAACCUCCACCUCCCAGUUUCAAGCGAUUCUUGUGUCUCCGCCUCUGGAGUAGCUGGGAUUACAAGUGCCCACCACCACACCUGGCUGAUUUUUGUAUUUUUAGUAGAGACGGGGUUUCACCAUGUUGGUCAGGCUGGUCUCGAACUCCUGACCUCAAGUGAUCUGCCUGCCUUGGCCUCUCAAAGUGCUGGGAUUACAGGCCUGAGCCACUGUGCCCGACCACCAUGUUGUAUUGUUACUGUUACUGCUCUCCUGUCCUGCACCUGCCCCGCCUGCCUCCCUUGGCUGGGCUGUAAAACCUUGAGGGGUAACGUAUCUUAUUCAUGUUUCUUGUCCUGGUACCAGCACAGCAACUGACAUGGAUGGGGGGUUUGGGGCUCAGAAAGCGUUGCCCUAAAAUAUGGCGCUCUGACAUGAAGCAGCCUCAAGGUCUAUCUGACCUCCCUGCCUCCUUCUCUGAAUCCUCUGUCUCUCUCAAAGUGCAGGAUGACGCUGUUCUCUGAAGUUUCUUUAUCUGCCUAGAAACGGGACCUGCCAAAGGGGAACACAAUUACCUUCCCUGGAAUAUCAUUAGCUAGAGGUUAAAACUCAUAUCCCAGAGGAUAUGAGACUGAACAUUAAACACCACACCUACAGCCAGAUAAACUUCAUCCCAAACCAUUAUCUGCUCUCUUUCCCUUUCAAUGUCCAAAGACAUUAUUAAUUAUCAUCUGGACGCUGGACUCAUUCAUUUCCCCCCUAAGAACCAUUGACUGUCCUUCAAAUUGCCACGUGUCCCCCAUCUCUCCUUCCCCCGUGAAGAAGGGCGCAUGCACCUGUACCC
RNAcentral lists this long non-coding RNA (1158 nucleotides) under Pan troglodytes (chimpanzee). RNAcentral's name for it is "long non-coding RNA NONPTRT009608". The record is from RNAcentral. Lineage: Eukaryota; Metazoa; Chordata; Mammalia; Primates; Hominidae.